GAAGUGGAUGAUCCAUGUUUGUCAGAAUGACCUCGAUCUUUCUAAGUGUCCAUCUCUCCACCUCAUCCUCCAAUGUAUUCAAUCCGGUUCCAACUACAGAGCAGCUUUUUUAAUCAGUUUGUUCAGACGCCUUGCAGUCUUGUUCUUUAUACUGCCUCCCCAGCAGACUGCGGCAUAAAACAGGACACUUGCUACCAGAGAUUGAUAAAACAUCUGCAGCAUCUUACUGCAGAUGUCUAUUGAUCGAAGUCUUCUUAGGCAAAAAAAGUCGGCUCUGGCCCUUUUUGUAGAUGAAAUGUGCAUUUUUAGACCAGUCUAACUUAUUGUCAAGGUGGACAUUCAGGCGGAAUUCAAGUUAGUACAUGUAAUUUGUAUGUGUACAUACAAAUUGGUAGGGAUGGGCGAGUACCGAUGCCAGGUAUCGGUAUCGAGCCGAUCCUGGCCUUAUUUCAAAGUAUCAAGUACUUUUGAAGGCUGCCGAUGCCAGCCACCGAUACUCAAGGCAAGAAAAUCCCACGCGUAGUAAACCCUCCUCGCCGGGAGAUGGCGCUACACUGCCGCGGGUUGACUUCUCCAUGUGCGUCACAUCCUGUGCAGAGACAACUUACCCCUCUCGUUUGUGGACAGCGUGGGAUUCCGACGGUUCAUGGAGGUUGUGGAGCCGAAAUAUGAUGUCCCCUCUCGAACCACAAUGGUGAGGACUGUGAUUCCGGAGGUGCACGACUCCGUUAAAAAACAUGUUAGCAGUUUGUUGUGUAACACUCCGGUCAUUAGCUUCACCACUGAUAUUUGGAGCAGCAGCGUGAGUGCUGUGUCUCUCAUCAGCCAGACAGCGCGUUGGAUAGAUGCUGAUUUCCAACUUCAUAGCAUCAUGCUGCACGCAAAAGAGUUCAGUGGCUCACACACAGGACAGGCGAUCGCAGAAAAGUUUGAGGAGAUGCUCAACACAUGGAAUAUUCCCAAAGAAGCCGUUCACGUUAUGCUAAGAGACAAUGCAAAGAACAUGAUUAAAGGUAUGGAUGAAGCUGAGCUUCCAAGCCUCCCGUGUGUCGUGCACACACUCCAGCUGACAGUGAAUGAAGGCCUGCUGGUUCAAAAGGCUGUUUCAGAUGCCGUGGCCAUAGGACGGAAAAUAGUCGGUCAUUUCCAAAAUUCCCCAUUGGCCUACUCGAAGCUUGAAGACAUCCAAACGGACAUGCACAAGCCUGUAAAAAGACUGGCACAGAACGUACCAACCCGCUGGAAUAGCACGCUGUAUAUGAUGCGCUCUCUCAUUGAACAAAAGCAAGCCAUAGGAGUUUAUGGGACAGAAAACAAGCUCCCCGAGAGCCUUAGUGUGAACCAGUGGAGUUUAUUCGAAAAGGCAAUCAAGCUUUUGGAACCCUUUGAGGAGCUGACCCGGCAGGUGAGCUCCACGGAUUCAUCAGCUGCAGAUGUGAUCCCUGCCAUCACCACGCUUCUUGAGGGUUUUAGAGAAGGAUUGUGAGGAGGACCGUGGGGUCGGAUCGAUGAAGCAUACCUUGCUACAGGUUGCUAGGAGGUGCUUUGCUGAUAUCGAGAGAAAUCCACUGUACAGCUUUGCCUCCAUACUCGAUCCAAGGUAAUAGUUUUUCUUACUAAUUCAAAUGUGAGAAAUUGUUUUAAUUAAAUUACUAUUAGAGUUGCCUAACCUUAAUAUUACUCAAGUAAAGUAAAAAAUAUUUUGCAUUAACUACUCUCAGUUAAAAGUACAACCACCUGAAUUGUGAUGUGACACCUGAAUCACUUAUGUGGAUGUGUAGACUUUCUCAUUUGUUCUCUUUUCUUCUCUCUUUUGUAGAUACAAGGAUUGUUAUUUCUCAGAUGAAAGCGCAGCAAGGGAGGCCAAAACGAUGCUUGUACAGGAGCUGCAGCAAACAUUUGCUGCAGAACCACAGGCAGAUGGAGAGGAACCACCUGCCCAAAAGCCACGGAGGGAGCAGCCCAGCAGCAGCAGCCGUCUCAACAGAAUGUCUGCUGAAAUAGCAGAGGGCCGUGCAUCAUCCUCACAUUGUACCGGGAGAAGUGCUCCAAUGAUCGCUGCUGCAAUGCAGCUGGAGACAUACCUUGCAGAACACUUACUCGAACGGGAUGCCAAUCCACUCAAGUACUGGGCAGAGGAGAGAGAAAAGUUUUCCUCUUUGGCCAAGUUAGCAAGAAAAUACCUCUCGGCACCAUGCAGCAGCGUCGAGAGUGAACGGCUCUUUAGUUCAGUUGCUCACAUUCUCGAUGACACAAGAAAUAGGCUCUCAGCUGAAAAUACAGAGAUGCUUCUGUUCCUUAAUAAGAACCUGCCACUUACCUUUUCACCCUCAGAUAACAGUUAGACAAUGAAGCAACUUAAAGGUUUAAGCUUUGUUCUAGUUUUGUGCUUCAAUUUUGCACCUUAAAAUAAAACCCAGGAAGAGAAAGUUCAUUUUAUUUCAUUUAAAAACUGAAAACUCAGGGGUUGUUCUAUCUUUGACUUUAGUUCAUAAAAAAGCAUUAAAAUGAGAACAUUUAAAAACUUUAGUUCAUGUAAAGUGUAAAACUCAGAGAAAGCUUUUUGAUCUUGCACUUUAGUUCAUAAAAAACCUUAAAACUCAGAAAGUUGUUUUAUCUUGCACUUUAGUUCAUAAAAAAAACCUUAAAACUCACAGAAAGCUGUUUCAUCUUGCACUUAAGUUCAUUUAAAAAAACAUGACAAUGUGUUCAUUUAAAAAAGUGUAUAACUCAGAGGUGUUUGUUACAUCUUUUACUUCAUUUAAAAGAAACCUUAAAACUCAGAAAUUGAUUUAUCUUGCACUUAAUUUCAUUUAAAAAAGUGUAAAACUCAAAAGAGUUGUUUUAUAUUUCACUUUUUUUUAUAUAUCUGAAACUGAGACUGCUAUUAUUUUAGUAGUGGCUGUGCUGCCUUUUUUAGAAAUAAAAGUCAUUUUUCAAAAAUGA
This is a long non-coding RNA of Acanthochromis polyacanthus (spiny chromis), 2946 nucleotides long. RefSeq lists it as uncharacterized. The record is from RefSeq and is a predicted model, not a curated record. NCBI's taxonomy places the organism in Eukaryota, Metazoa, Chordata, Actinopteri, Pomacentridae. The transcript is spliced from 2 exons.